RNAcentral lists this ribosomal RNA (606 nucleotides) under Pleustes panoplus. Its description in RNAcentral is "partial small subunit ribosomal RNA". It matches the Rfam family "Eukaryotic small subunit ribosomal RNA", at positions 1366 to 1807 of the family's 1831-position model. The record is from RNAcentral. Lineage: Eukaryota; Metazoa; Arthropoda; Malacostraca; Amphipoda; Pleustidae.
UACGGUCGCCGCACGGCGCGCGUGUGUUCGCACACGUCGCGUUCGGGUAGCUUCCUACUUGUGCUCGUUCGCACACUCCAAGUCCGCCGCUUACUCGUGUGCGAGGUGUAACAGCCGAGUCGCGGAUAAAACUCUUCUUAGAGGGAUUCACGGUUCUGAAGCCGUAAGAAACUGAGAGCAAUAACAGGUCUGUGAUGCCCUUAGAUGUUCUGGGCCGCACGCGCGCUACAAUGCCGGGUUCAGCAGGUGUCUAUCCUUCUCCGACAGGAGUGGGUAACCCUGUGAAAGCCCUCUCUCUCUUAUUAUCAAAGGUCGUCACGUUCGUUCACUCGGGCGUGUCACCUCCAUGGCUUGCUUGGGCCUGGGGCUUGCAAUUCUUUCCCACCAACGAGGAAUGCCUAGUAGCGGCGGGUCACUGAGCCCGCCGUGACUCAGUCCCUGCCCUUUGUACACACCGCCCGUCGCUACUACCGAUUGGGUGUACCAGUGAGAUCCUUGGGACUGGCGAACCUUGUGCACUAGCGAUAGAGCACAAGUGUGAACGACGGGAAGAGGCUCGAACUGGUGCACUUAGAGGAAGUAAAAGUCGUAACAAGGUUUCCCGUA